UGAGGAAUUUUGCGCAAUGGGGGGAACCCUGACGCAGCAACGCCGCGUGGGUGAUGAAGGCCUUCGGGUCGUAAAGCCCUGUCGGGCGGGAAGAACGUCCCUUCGGGGAAUGACGGUACCGCAAGAGGCAGCACCGGCUAACUCCGUGCCAGAAGCCGCGGUAAUACGGAGGGUGCAAGCGUUAUUCGGAAUUACUGGGCGUAAAGGGCGUGCAGGCGGGUGUGCAAGGCUGAUGUGAAAGCCCGGGGCUGAACCCCGGAAGGGCAUUGGAAACUGCUUUUCUAGAGUGCUGGAGAGGAAGGGAGAAUUCCCGGUGUAGAGGUGAAAUUCGUAGAGAUCGGGAGGAACAUCAGUGGCGAAGGCGCCCUUCUGGACAGCAACUGACGCUGAGACGCGAAAGCGUGGGGAGCAAACA
This 415-nucleotide ribosomal RNA is filed under the name uncultured prokaryote. Its description in RNAcentral is "bacterial SSU rRNA". It matches the Rfam family "Bacterial small subunit ribosomal RNA", at positions 355 to 774 of the family's 1533-position model. The record is from RNAcentral.